This 654-nucleotide long non-coding RNA is filed under the name Aquilegia coerulea. Its description in RNAcentral is "long non-coding RNA (ACOE_LNC001986)". Lineage: Eukaryota; Viridiplantae; Streptophyta; Magnoliopsida; Ranunculales; Ranunculaceae. The record is from RNAcentral.
CCCUUUGAUCUUUUUUUUGAUAGCGAUUCUAAAUAAACUGAUGCAUUUCCAAAUAACGACAUAAAUUGAUUAGCUACAUUUAUAAAUUGGGUUGCAAUUUAGAGGAUCUACUUCCAUUACCAUAACAAUGGAAGUUCAUAAGCUUUUUGAGCAAAACAUAGUUUAUUGAAAGGUGCCUUAUAUAUGCACAGAAAUAUUACUUUACAAUCAAACUCCUCUUUGCGUAAUGGUCUAGUUUCCAAAUGACGGUGCUAGUGGAGGAGAUUUUCCAAACCAUGGUUCUGGUGGAGGAGAUUGAUAUACCGUCGGAUUAGGAAAAGGUGUUGGAGGAACCCGUCCGCCUUUCCUGGGUCUGCUCCCUGCUCUUCCUCCAAUCUUGAAGUUCAUGGUAUCUGCAAGGACUAUAUAUAUGUACAUGCACCAAACAGAACAAAUAAACUGUCAACACUAUUUUAUUUUAUUUUUUUCGUAAAUUACUUUUUCAUGAAAACAAGAUUGGCAUUUCAAUAAAAGUUACCUGAACUAGUUGUUUCGUAAUGAAAACCAUCGAGGAGGAGAAAGACGAUGAAGAUUGCGAGUAAUGACCUUGAAGAUUUCAUUGUUCCAAAAUUAUUAAGUAGCUAGAGGCCGGUAGAUAAAAAGGUUAGAUGUUUG